Kwoniella sp. DSM 27419 is the source of this 85-nucleotide non-coding RNA. Lineage: Eukaryota; Fungi; Basidiomycota; Tremellomycetes; Tremellales; Cryptococcaceae. The record is from the annotation of a GenBank genome assembly.
GCCGACAUAGUACGAUUGGUCAGUAUCCUUGCUUCUCACUUCAGGUGGCUCGUGGGUGAUCGAGGUUCCAUCCCUCGUGUCGGUA